UAAUUGAAGAGUUUGAUCAUGGCUCAGAUUGAACGCUGGCGGCAGGCCUAACACAUGCAAGUCGAGCGGCAGCACA
RNAcentral lists this ribosomal RNA (76 nucleotides) under Vibrio cholerae. RNAcentral describes it as "partial 16S ribosomal RNA". It matches the Rfam family "Bacterial small subunit ribosomal RNA", at positions 1 to 76 of the family's 1533-position model. The record is from RNAcentral. Lineage: Bacteria; Pseudomonadati; Pseudomonadota; Gammaproteobacteria; Vibrionales; Vibrionaceae. RNAcentral also lists the same sequence under 1 other name.